GGCAUAAGCCAGCUUGACUGCGAGCGUGACGGCGCGAGCAGGUGCGAAAGCAGGUCAUAGUGAUCCGGUGGUUCUGAAUGGAAGGGCCAUCGCUCAACGGAUAAAAGGUACUCCGGGGAUAACAGGCUGAUACCGCCCAAGAGUUCAUAUCGACGGCGGUGUUUGGCACCUCGAUGUCGGCUCAUCACAUCCUGGGGCUGAAGUAGGUCCCAAGGGUAUGGCUGUUCGCCAUUUAAAGUGGUACGCGAGCUGGGUUUAGAACGUCGUGAGACAGUUCGGUCCCUAUCUGCCGUGGGCGCUGGAGAACUGAGGGGGGCUGCUCCUAGUACGAGAGGACCGGAGUGGACGCAUCACUGGUGUUCGGGUUGUCAUGCCAAUGGCACUGCCCGGUAGCUAAAUGCGGAAGAGAUAAGUGCUGAAAGCAUCUAAGCACGAAACUUGCCCCGAGAUGAGUUCUCCCUGAGACUUUAGGUCUCCUGAAGGAACGUUGAAGACGACGACGUUGAUAGGCCGGGUGUGUAAGCGCAGCGAUGCGUUGAGCUAACCGGUACUAAUGAACCGUGAGGCUUAACCUUACAACGCCGAAG
This 587-nucleotide ribosomal RNA is filed under the name Salmonella enterica subsp. enterica serovar Typhimurium. RNAcentral's name for it is "partial 23S ribosomal RNA". It matches the Rfam family "Bacterial large subunit ribosomal RNA", at positions 2356 to 2925 of the family's 2925-position model. The record is from RNAcentral. Lineage: Bacteria; Pseudomonadati; Pseudomonadota; Gammaproteobacteria; Enterobacterales; Enterobacteriaceae.